AUACGGAGGGUGCAAGCGUUAUCCGGAAUCAUAGGGUUUAAAGGGUCCGCAGGCGGAUUAAUAAGUCAGUGGUGAAAUCCUCUCGCUCAACGAGAGAACUGCCAUUGAAACUGUUAGUCUUGAAUUCGGUCGAAGUAGGCGGAAUGUGUCAUGUAGCGGUGAAAUGCAUAGAUAUGACACAGAACACCGAUAGCGAAGGCAGCUUACUAGACCUGGAUUGACGCUCAUGGACGAAAGCGUGGGGAGCGAACAGGAUUAGAAACCCUAGUAGUCC
RNAcentral lists this ribosomal RNA (274 nucleotides) under uncultured bacterium. RNAcentral describes it as "partial 16S ribosomal RNA". It matches the Rfam family "Bacterial small subunit ribosomal RNA", at positions 523 to 796 of the family's 1533-position model. The record is from RNAcentral.